RNAcentral lists this ribosomal RNA (895 nucleotides) under Oidiodendron truncatum. RNAcentral describes it as "LSU rRNA". It matches the Rfam family "Eukaryotic large subunit ribosomal RNA", at positions 38 to 952 of the family's 3401-position model. Lineage: Eukaryota; Fungi; Ascomycota; Leotiomycetes; Myxotrichaceae. The record is from RNAcentral.
GCAUAUCAAUAAGCGGAGGAAAAGAAACCAACAGGGAUUGCCUCAGUAACGGCGAGUGAAGCGGCAACAGCUCAAAUUUGAAAUCUGGCCCUUUCAGGGCCCGAGUUGUAAUUUGGAGAAGAUGCUUCGGGUGCGGCCCCGGUCUAAGUUCCUUGGAACAGGACGUCACAGAGGGUGAGAAUCCCGUACGUGCCCGGUGGUCGCCCCCGUGUGAAGCUCUUUCGACGAGUCGAGUUGUUUGGGAAUGCAGCUCAAAAUGGGUGGUAAAUUUCAUCUAAAGCUAAAUAUUGGCCAGAGACCGAUAGCGCACAAGUAGAGUGAUCGAAAGAUGAAAAGCACUUUGGAAAGAGAGUUAAACAGUACGUGAAAUUGUUGAAAGGGAAGCGCUUGCAACCAGACUUGCGCGCGGCCGAUCAUCCGGUGUUCGCACCGGUGCACUCGACCGCGCGCAGGCCAGCAUCGGUUUGGGUGGCUGGAGAAAGGCCACGGGAAUGUGGCUCCCCUCGGGGAGUGUUAUAGCCCGCGGCGCAAUGCAGCCCACCCGGACCGAGGACCGCGCUUCGGCUAGGAUGCUGGCGUAAUGGUUGUAAGCGACCCGUCUUGAAACACGGACCAAGGAGUCUAACAUCUAUGCGAGUGUUUGGGUGUCAAACCCAUACGCGGAAUGAAAGUGAACGGAGGUGAGAACCCUUAAGGGUGCAUCAUCGACCGAUCCUGAUGUCUUCGGAUGGAUUUGAGUAAGAGCAUAGCUGUUGGGACCCGAAAGAUGGUGAACUAUGCCUGAAUAGGGUGAAGCCAGAGGAAACUCUGGUGGAGGCUCGCAGCGGUUCUGACGUGCAAAUCGAUCGUCAAAUUUGGGCAUAGGGGCGAAAGACUAAUCGAUUAUCUAGCCCCC